Molecule: ribosomal RNA, 425 nt
Filed under: uncultured bacterium
Lineage: Bacteria
Description: partial 16S ribosomal RNA
Rfam family: Bacterial small subunit ribosomal RNA
Source: RNAcentral
GUGGGGAAUAUUGGACAAUGGGCGCAAGCCUGAUCCAGCCAUGCCGCGUGAGUGAUGAAGGCCUUAGGGUUGUAAAGCUCUUUCGUCAGGGAAGAUAAUGACGGUACCUGAAGAAGAAGCCCCGGCUAACUGCGUGCCAGCAGCCGCGGUAAUACGAAGGGGGCUAGCGUUGCUCGGAAUCACUGGGCGUAAAGCGCACGUAGGCGGCUUUCUAAGUCAGGGGUGAAAUCCUGGAGCUCAACUCCAGAACUGCCUUUGAUACUGGAGAGCUUGAGUUCGGGAGAGGUGAGUGGAACUGCGAGUGUAGAGGUGAAAUUCGUAGAUAUUCGCAAGAACACCAGUGGCGAAGGCGGCUCACUGGCCCGAUACUGACGCUGAGGUGCGAAAGCGUGGGGAGCAAACAGGAUUAGAAACCCGAGUAGUCC